ACAUUGGUGUAAUGAAGGGAAAAAAAGAUGGAAAAUUGGGAACAUAAAUAUCAAAGUUUAAGAGAAAAAGAAACAAACUAUUGGAGUAGAAAUUCAAACAGCUAAAAUUUGCAGUGUGUUCACAACCUCAAACUCACAACUGAAAAACAACCGACAUUACACAAGCAGAAAAUUCGAGGAAAAUGACGAUCCUAUGAUCACCAUAAAACUGAAUAAAGAAAGUUACAUAGGAUUAGAAAGUCCUCUUGAACAUAACCCUGAAGGGAGUGUCACUGAGAGCCAAAAACCUGACUCCAUCCUUAUUGUAUAUACCAACAUCUUUGCAAAUAACCUUGCAAAAUGUGCACACGCUUGGGCAGAACACAAACUUGUAAUCAGUCCCAAGUUUCUCAAUCUUAAACCAAUUGCUCACUGUCAGAGGUCCCGGGUUUCCUUCAACUCCACCAGUCACUAUGAAAUAUUGCUUCAACUUCUCAUCAUAGGUCCCAAGUUUCCAAAUAGUUUCUC
Molecule: long non-coding RNA, 507 nt
Filed under: Nicotiana tabacum (common tobacco)
Lineage: Eukaryota; Viridiplantae; Streptophyta; Magnoliopsida; Solanales; Solanaceae
Description: long non-coding RNA (NTAB_LNC008999)
Source: RNAcentral